RNAcentral lists this ribosomal RNA (459 nucleotides) under uncultured bacterium. RNAcentral describes it as "partial 16S ribosomal RNA". It matches the Rfam family "Bacterial small subunit ribosomal RNA", at positions 338 to 795 of the family's 1533-position model. The record is from RNAcentral.
CCUACGGGUGGCUGCAGUGAGGAAUAUUGGUCAAUGGACGAGAGUCUGAACCAGCCAAGUAGCGUGAAGGAUGACUGCCCUAUGGGUUGUAAACUUCUUUUGUCAAGGAAUAAAACGACGCACGUGUGCCUUUUUGCAGGUACUUUGUGAAUAAGGAUCGGCUAACUCCGUGCCAGCAGCCGCGGUAAUACGGAGGAUCCGAGCGUUAUCCGGAUUUAUUGGGUUUAAAGGGAGCGUAGAGGGGUUGUUAAGUCGGUGGUGAAAGUUUGGGGCUCAACCGUAAAGUGCAAUUGGUACUGGGAGUCUUGAGUGCAGUGGAGGUAGGCGGAAUUCGUGGUGUAGCGGUGAAAUGCUUAGAUAUCACGAAGAACCCCGAUUGCGAAGGCAGCGUACUAAGCUGUGACUGACAUUGAUGCACGAAAGUGUGGGGAUCAAACAGGAUUAGAUACCCUGGUAGUC